AUACUUACCUGGCAGGGGAGAUACCAUGAUCACGAAGGUGGUUUUCCCAGGGUGAGGCUCAUCCAUUGCACUGCGGGUGUGCUGACACAGACUAACACGGCUACUACACUGUAACCUUAAAU
Molecule: small nuclear RNA, 122 nt
Organism: Chelydra serpentina (North American snapping turtle)
Lineage: Eukaryota; Metazoa; Chordata; Testudines; Chelydridae
Gene: U1
Rfam family: U1 spliceosomal RNA
About the family: U1 is a small nuclear RNA (snRNA) component of the spliceosome (involved in pre-mRNA splicing).
Source: Ensembl